Nannospalax galili (Upper Galilee mountains blind mole rat) is the source of this 104-nucleotide small nuclear RNA. Lineage: Eukaryota; Metazoa; Chordata; Mammalia; Rodentia; Spalacidae. The record is from Ensembl.
GUGUUCACUUUAGCAGCACAUAUACUUAAAUUGGAACAAUAGCAAGAUUAGCAUUGUCCCUACACAAGGGUGGCAGGUAAAUUUAUAAAGUGUUCUAUAUUCUU